Anguilla rostrata (American eel) is the source of this 1185-nucleotide long non-coding RNA. RefSeq lists it as uncharacterized. Lineage: Eukaryota; Metazoa; Chordata; Actinopteri; Anguilliformes; Anguillidae. The transcript is spliced from 5 exons. The record is from RefSeq and is a predicted model, not a curated record.
UCUUACCUGCUACCUAGACACCCCCCCCCGCCGUCCCCGCCGCCCCAGCCUCACCUCCACACUACCUCCCCGGGUGGUCCAUAAAGGGGGCGGGGGAGGAGGGGGGCGCACAAAUAUGUGAGUAGAAUGUUCUUAUCUGAGCAUUCUAAUGCUGAUGUCACAAUCGCCACUGGUGACUGAAAGCGGUGGAGUUCUAGAACACUCACUUAGAUGUGUUGAACAUUCCAAAACAAAAAAAACCCUGCUGUUCAAAGGGUUGAAGGUGCGACGGUGGCCUGGGGAAGUCGGUGCCCCCCGUCCCACUCCCCUGUGCCCCCGUCCCAACCCCUUCAGUGACGGUUUCUUUCCGAGCGCUGAGCAGGUACCGUCACUCCCCAGGUAAACCUGGGACGUUUAGACUGGAUUCAUCGCUCCACUUCUCUAAGGGGCAGAAGGUGUUGGGAUCCGGUCCUGGAGGGCCGCGGCGUCUGCUGGCUCUGGGUCCCUUUCAGCAUCGGUGACUCAUUUAAGGUCUGUGAUUGGCUGAAGAAGAAUCCGCACGCCUUGUUCUCAACGCCCGAAUUGGCUGCUGAUUUAAAGCGAAUCACACAAAAAAAAUAAAUAAAUAAAGAGCCUGCAGACGCUGCUGCCCUCGGGAAGCUGAGUUUGACACCGCGGGUCUAAGAGCGCCAUUCUGCAGCAGCGGUUAGCGCACCGGGCUUCCGGCCAAAACGGGCCCCCGCGUGUGACACACUGGCGAAGGAGGCGAACGGGUUCCAGCAUGCACUGGGGCGGUACAGGAAAUGCACUCUCUCCAAAGAUGGGGAAACGGAGAGCGAAGGGGUGAAAGGUCAAAGGGUGCUGCGGUGGCAGAUUAUAACCCUCGCCCAUGCAGGGGGUCAUUGCGUCAGAGUGGGCUGCAUCUCUCCAUUAUUACAAGCCAUCCAUCCGUUAUCUAACCCGCUUAUUCCUGGUCAGGAUUGCGGGGUGUGCUGGAGCCUAUCCCAGCAUGCAGUGGUCUGGAACACACUGGCGGACGGGCACCACUGUCUUACAGCAUUACUGCUGCUUACGAGCACUGAAAACCCGACGCUGCAGAACCUCAAAGGGCCCACUCACAUUUCGGGUGGGGCGAAGUCGGGCCGGGACAUCUGGUAGCCGCACUUGAUCAUCUUGUAGAACUUGGUGUCCACCAGGAUGCUCGGG